Long non-coding RNA from Halichondria panicea, 260 nucleotides. RefSeq lists it as uncharacterized. The transcript is spliced from 2 exons. The record is from RefSeq and is a predicted model, not a curated record. Lineage: Eukaryota; Metazoa; Porifera; Demospongiae; Suberitida; Halichondriidae.
AUCAGCACGUCAAAGAAUGUUUAUGACCAGAAGCUCAAGUCGCCUGGGAUGGCAAACUCUAGCCAACUCUUCUUAAGGCCACUAAAAGAUUGAUCAGCUUACCAGGAGGUGACAGGCAGCAUACAAAGUAUGACCACCAGUACCUUGAUGUUGAGGAAAAGAGACUUUGUAGUUUACAUUGCAAACAUUGAUUAUUAUUAAUUUAUUGUACAUACAUGUAGGCUUAAUUAUAUAAUUAUACUAUACAUUCAUGUACCUCA